GGCGCGGUAGCCAAGUUGGUAAGGCUGGUCCGUGAAACGAUUGAUCGCCGGUUCGAACCCGGCUCGCGCCUCCA
RNAcentral lists this transfer RNA (74 nucleotides) under Terriglobia bacterium. Its description in RNAcentral is "tRNA-His". It matches the Rfam family "tRNA". From Rfam's summary of the family: Transfer RNA (tRNA) molecules are approximately 80 nucleotides in length. Their secondary structure includes four short double-helical elements and three loops (D, anti-codon, and T loops). Lineage: Bacteria; Pseudomonadati; Acidobacteriota; Terriglobia. The record is from RNAcentral.